This 40-nucleotide ribosomal RNA is filed under the name Emericellopsis terricola. Its description in RNAcentral is "partial 28S ribosomal RNA". The record is from RNAcentral. RNAcentral also lists the same sequence under 1 other name. Lineage: Eukaryota; Fungi; Ascomycota; Sordariomycetes; Hypocreales; Bionectriaceae.
UCAGGUAGGAAUACCCGCUGAACUUAAGCAUAUCAAUAAG